AACUUGCCCUUAACCCGGGAUUAAGCAUCCAGGCGCAUCACUGUGGACGUCCAGUUUCUGGACGUCGAGUGGCUCCUUUCCACUCUGUUUGACGCCUCCCUGUUGACACUCCGGAGCCGCUCCAAGCGGCUCCUUUUUU
Molecule: small RNA, 139 nt
Filed under: Blastochloris viridis
Lineage: Bacteria; Pseudomonadati; Pseudomonadota; Alphaproteobacteria; Hyphomicrobiales; Blastochloridaceae
Description: Alphaproteobacterial sRNA BjrC1505
Rfam family: Alphaproteobacterial sRNA BjrC1505
Source: Rfam by way of RNAcentral